CGAUGAAGCCCACUUGUGGGUGGAUUAGUGGCGAACGGGUGAGUAACACGUGAGUAACCUGCCCUUGACUCUGGGAUAAGCCUGGGAAACUGGGUCUAAUACCGGAUAUGACUCCUCAUCGCAUGGUGGGGGGUGGAAAGCUUUUUGUGGUUUUGGAUGGACUCGCGGCCUAUCAGCUUGUUGGUGAGGUAAUGGCUUACCAAGGCGACGACGGGUAGCCGGCCUGAGAGGGUGACCGGCCACACUGGGACUGAGACACGGCCCAGACUCCUACGGGAGGCAGCAGUGGGGAAUAUUGCACAAUGGGCGCAAGCCUGAUGCAGCGACGCCGCGUGAGGGAUGACGGCCUUCGGGUUGUAAACCUCUUUCAGUAGGGAAGAAGCCUUUCGGGGUGACGGUACCUGCAGAAGAAGCGCCGGCUAACUACGUGCCAGCAGCCGCGGUAAUACGUAGGGCGCAAGCGUUAUCCGGAAUUAUUGGGCGUAAAGAGCUCGUAGGCGGUUUGUCGCGUCUGCCGUGAAAGUCCGGGGCUCAACUCCGGAUCUGCGGUGGGUACGGGCAGACUAGAGUGAUGUAGGGGAGACUGGAAUUCCUGGUGUAGCGGUGAAAUGCGCAGAUAUCAGGAGGAACACCGAUGGCGAAGGCAGGUCUCUGGGCAUUAACUGACGCUGAGGAGCGAAAGCAUGGGGAGCGAACAGGAUUAGAUACCCUGGUAGUCCAUGCCGUAAACGUUGGGCACUAGGUGUGGGGGACAUUCCACGUUUUCCGCGCCGUAGCUAACGCAUUAAGUGCCCCGCCUGGGGAGUAC
Molecule: ribosomal RNA, 808 nt
Filed under: Arthrobacter sp.
Lineage: Bacteria; Bacillati; Actinomycetota; Actinomycetes; Micrococcales; Micrococcaceae
Description: bacterial SSU rRNA
Rfam family: Bacterial small subunit ribosomal RNA
Source: RNAcentral